ACKGCUCAGUAACACGUGGCUAACCUACCCUCGAGACAGGGACAACCCCGGGAAACUGGGGCUAAUCCCCGAUAGAUGAGAACACCUGGAACGGGUUCUCGUCCAAAAGGCGCCUAUAUCAUGCUUCUAGACGCUGCUCAAGGAUGGGGCCGCGGCCGAUCAGGCUGUUGGUGAGGCAAUGGCUCACCAAGCCUUUUACCGGUGCGGGCCGUGAGAGCGGGAGCCCGGAGAUGGGCACUGAGACAAGGGCCCAGGCCCUACGGGGCGCAGCAGUCGCGAAAACUUUGCAAUAAGCGAAAGCUUGACAGGGCUAUCCCGAGUGCCAUCCGCUGAGGAAGGCUUUUACCCAGUCUAGAACGCUGGGGGAAUAAGGAGAGGGCAAGUCUGGUGUCAGCCGCCGCGGUAAUACCAGCUCUCUGAGUGGUGUGGAUGUUUAUUGGGCCUAAAGCAUCCGUAGCUGGCUAGGUUAGUCCCCUGUUAAAUCCACCGAAUUAAUCGUUGGAUUGCGGGGGAUACUGCUUGGCUAGGGGACGAGAGAGGCAGACGGUAUUUCCGGGGUAGGGGUGAAAUCCUAUAAUCCCGGGAAGACCACCAGUGGCGAAGGCUGUCUGCUAGAACGCGCCCGACGGUGAGGGAUGAAAGCUGGGGGAGCGAACCGGAUUAGAUACCCGGGUAGUCCCAGCUGUAAACGAUGCAGACUAGGUGUUUGGACGGCCACGUGCCGUUCUAGUGCCGCAGGGAAGCUGUUAAGUCUGCCGCCUGGGGAGUACGAUCGCAAGAUUGAAACUUAAAGGAAUUGGCGGGGGAGCAC
Molecule: ribosomal RNA, 811 nt
Filed under: uncultured Thermoproteales archaeon
Lineage: Archaea; Thermoproteati; Thermoproteota; Thermoprotei; Thermoproteales
Description: bacterial SSU rRNA
Rfam family: Archaeal small subunit ribosomal RNA
Source: RNAcentral